GUGCUUAUUUCAACAGCACAUAUACUAAAAUUGGGAUGAUACAGAGAAGCAUGGCUCCUGAGCAAGGAUGACACACAAAUUUGUGAAGCAUUCCAUAUUUUG
Small nuclear RNA from Cebus imitator (Panamanian white-faced capuchin), 102 nucleotides. Lineage: Eukaryota; Metazoa; Chordata; Mammalia; Primates; Cebidae. The record is from RefSeq and is a predicted model, not a curated record.